Molecule: long non-coding RNA, 406 nt
Filed under: Populus tremula
Lineage: Eukaryota; Viridiplantae; Streptophyta; Magnoliopsida; Malpighiales; Salicaceae
Description: long non-coding RNA (PTRE_LNC000044)
Source: RNAcentral
UGGACAGAAAGCUUGACAUUGACUUCACUGCCCAUGGAUCCCGACUUCCGGUCACCAAGCUGCUUCUUCAAAUUUCUUCCAACCAACCCUUCCCUUCUUCUUUUAUAAACGCCGUGGAGUGGACAGAAAGCUUGACAUUGACUUCACUGCCCAUGGAUCCCGACUUCCGGUCACCAAGCUGCUUCUUCAAAUUUCUUCCAACCAACCCUUCCCUUCUUCUUUUUAAAACGCCGUGGAGUGGACAGAAAGCUUGACAUUGACUUCACUGCCCAUGGAUCCCGACUUCCGGUCACCAAGCUACUUCUUCAAAUUUCUUCCAACCAACCCUUCCCUUCAUCUUUUUUAAACGCCGUGGAGUGGACAGAAAGCUUGGCAUGACUUCACUGCCCAUGGAUCCCAAUUUCCG